This 294-nucleotide long non-coding RNA is filed under the name Mus musculus (house mouse). RNAcentral describes it as "long non-coding RNA chr11:82725142-82725436". The record is from RNAcentral. Lineage: Eukaryota; Metazoa; Chordata; Mammalia; Rodentia; Muridae.
AUGUCUCAAACUCUACACCAAGACUCCGUGGCAGAGCCCACUGGUGGUGGGGAGCGGGGAGGGGGAACGGGGGUGGGUAAAGUCAGUGGGGAACCUGGCCAGGAGAGGUGAAGCCCUGGACAAGAAGCUGGAGAAAGGGGGCUUUGACAAGACUUAUGUGGUCCUUGGCCACUUCUGCUAAACAAAGAUGAAAACGUUUCCCAAGAAUGGCUGAAAGACACAAGGAGUGCCAAUGCCAAGCAGGCUGGGUACUUCUUUGGGUGCCUUCGAGAAAGCUGUGAUGCUGUCUCGUAA